GAGGGUGUAGCUCAACGGCAGAGAGUUCGUUUUGCAUACGAAAUGUUCCGUGUACAAUCCCCGGCACCUCCA
This is a non-coding RNA of Caerostris extrusa, 72 nucleotides long. Lineage: Eukaryota; Metazoa; Arthropoda; Arachnida; Araneae; Araneidae. The record is from the annotation of a GenBank genome assembly.